Molecule: non-coding RNA, 413 nt
Organism: Cinara cedri
Lineage: Eukaryota; Metazoa; Arthropoda; Insecta; Hemiptera; Aphididae
Source: the annotation of a GenBank genome assembly
UCCAAAACAACUUUAAAUUGUAUCUUAGACAAUCCUGAUACAUUUCAAUAAAAAAACAUUGUAGCUGAAGAUAUAAUAUUAUAUAGACGAACAUUUUAGAACGGUCAAUUACUCAGAAAUUGAUAAUAAUUUAUAAAAUUAAUAAAAGUAUACACACAUGCUAUUUAAUUUAUUACGAUAAAUGCAAGAGAUAAAAGCACGUCUUAGGAUCAUGAAGACGGGUGCAGCCACUGUUAUAGGUAAUUUAAUAUAUACCUGUAAGCAAUGAUAAACCAUUACUAACAAAAAACCGAUGUUGACUGGAGUUCAGUUGAUAGUGAAACUUUGUCAACAAUAUAUAUGUCAUAUAUGGUAAAAUAAUUAAAUAGGCAUUAUAUAUAAAUAUAUAAAUUGCUAUCAUUAUAAAUUGGAGC